This 269-nucleotide ribosomal RNA is filed under the name uncultured bacterium. RNAcentral describes it as "partial 16S ribosomal RNA". It matches the Rfam family "Bacterial small subunit ribosomal RNA", at positions 524 to 792 of the family's 1533-position model. The record is from RNAcentral.
UACGUAGGGUGCAAGCGUUAAUCGGAAUUACUGGGCGUAAAGCGUGCGCAGGCGGUUUGGUAAGACAGAUGUGAAAUCCCCGGGCUUAACCUGGGAAUGGCAUUUGUGACUGCCCGGCUAGAGUGUGUCAGAGGGGGGUAGAAUUCCACGUGUAGCAGUGAAAUGCGUAGAUAUGUGGAGGAAUACCGAUGGCGAAGGCAGCCCCCUGGGAUAACACUGACGCUCAUGCACGAAAGCGUGGGGAGCAAACAGGAUUAGAAACCCCCGUA